AGUGAACGCUGGCGGUAGGCCUAACACAUGCAAGUCGAACGGCAGCACAGUAAGAGCUUGCUCUUACGGGUGGCGAGUGGCGGACGGGUGAGGAAUACAUCGGAAUCUACUUUUUCGUGGGGGAUAACGUAGGGACACUUACGCUAAUACCGCAUACGACCUACGGCUGAAAGCAGGGGAUCUUCGGACCUUGCGCGACUGAAUGAGCCGAUGCCGGAUUAGCUAGUUGGCGGGGUAAAGGCCCACCAAGGCGACGAUCCGUAGCUGGUCUGAGAGGAUGAUCAGCCACACUGGAACUGAGACACGGUCCAGACUCCUACGGGAGGCAGCAGUGGGGAAUAUUGGACAAUGGGCGCAAGCCUGAUCCAGCCAUACCGCGUGGGUGAAGAAGGCCUUCGGGUUGUAAAGCCCUUUUGUUGGGAAAGAAAAGCAGCAGGUUAAUACCCCGCUGUUCUGACGGUACCCAAAGAAUAAGCACCGGCUAACUUCGUG
This 492-nucleotide ribosomal RNA is filed under the name uncultured bacterium. RNAcentral describes it as "partial 16S ribosomal RNA". It matches the Rfam family "Bacterial small subunit ribosomal RNA", at positions 29 to 507 of the family's 1533-position model. The record is from RNAcentral.